AUUAAAGAGUUCUAUAACUCCCAAACCCAUGUGAACAUACCUAACGUUGCCUCGGCAGGUCGCACCUACCUUGUAGCACCCUACCCUGUAGGGCCUACCCGGGAGGUGCGGGUAAGCCUGCCGGCGGCCCACCAAACUCUGUUUGAUAUUGAAUUCUGAACCUAUAACUAAAUAAGUUAAAACUUUCAACAACGGAUCUCUUGGUUCUGGCAUCGAUGAAGAACGCAGCGAAAUGCGAUAAGUAAUGUGAAUUGCAGAAUUCAGUGAAUCAUCGAAUCUUUGAACGCAUAUUGCGCCCAUUAGUAUUCUAGUGGGCAGGACCGUUCGAGCGUCAUUUCAACCCUUAAGCCUUCGUUGCUUAGUGUUGGGAGCCUACGGCAACGUAGCUCCUCAAAGUUAGUGGCGGAGUUGGUUCACACUCUAGACGUAGUAAUUUUUUAUCUCGCCUAUUAGUUGGACUAAUCCCCUGCCGUAAAACCCCCAAUUUAUCAAGGUUGACCUCGAAUCGGUUCAGACAAACUCGCUAAAUUGAAGCAUCUUAGUCAGCGAAGGAAAAGAAACCAACAGGGAUUGCCCUAGUAACGGCGAGUGAAGCGGCAACAGCUCAAAUUUGAAAUCUGGCCCUCGGGUCCGAGUU
RNAcentral lists this ribosomal RNA (637 nucleotides) under fungal endophyte. RNAcentral describes it as "eukaryotic LSU rRNA". The stretch from base 181 to 334 matches the Rfam family "5.8S ribosomal RNA". The record is from RNAcentral. Lineage: Eukaryota; Fungi.